CUUAUCCAACUUUGAUCCUCUAGGCUCUUGAGCUAAAUCAAACAAAUUUACUUCAUGAUACAUUCGGCCUUGGCAACAAUUUCAUUAGAAAUCCUUAUUAGCCACUUCAUCAAUCAAUUAUAUCAUCUACUUAAUAUUUCAUAACUUAUCAUGCUAGCUGAAUAUUAUUUAUUCAAGUUCAUCAUCUUCAUAUUCGGCAUUAGCAUCAAAUAUAAUAGCCCAUUUCUUCCCACUUUGAAUUUAUGCAUCCAUUUAAUCAUAGUUUGUUUAAGCACUCAUACAACAAGAUUCAUCCAAUUUAACAAGAAACAAAAACUUUAUUCCUCCAUAGCUACAAUGGCCGAAAGAUCUAGACAUCUCAAUACUGAAAUUUCUAACAUGGGUUGCCUAAAGAAUUUGGUAGGGAGUUCAAAUUUAUCUAGCAUUUCAAGUAAUUUAACACAUCCAUAUAGCUAACAUGCUAGUAGUAUCAAGGCAUCAACUAAAAUUUUGAAGCCUCUUAGCCGAAUCCUAACUCUCCAACAACUCUAAUUUCAUCCAUGAGAUAAAUAGAAGUAGGCUAACCCUCCAAAGGAUGUGUAAACCUCCAAAAGCAACAUUGAACAUACCUUAAUCUCAAGAACCACCUUGGCCGAACUUCCCCUCUUCUUCUUCCUUCC
RNAcentral lists this long non-coding RNA (659 nucleotides) under Gossypium barbadense (sea-island cotton). RNAcentral's name for it is "long non-coding RNA (GBAR_LNC002128)". Lineage: Eukaryota; Viridiplantae; Streptophyta; Magnoliopsida; Malvales; Malvaceae. The record is from RNAcentral.